Molecule: ribosomal RNA, 1168 nt
Filed under: Klebsiella variicola subsp. variicola
Lineage: Bacteria; Pseudomonadati; Pseudomonadota; Gammaproteobacteria; Enterobacterales; Enterobacteriaceae
Description: partial 23S ribosomal RNA
Rfam family: Bacterial large subunit ribosomal RNA
Source: RNAcentral
GGUUAAGCGACUAAGCGUACACGGUGGAUGCCCUGGCAGUCAGAGGCGAUGAAGGACGUGCUAAUCUGCGAAAAGCGUCGGUAAGGUGAUAUGAACCGUUAUAGCCGGCGAUGUCCGAAUGGGGAAACCCAGUGUGAUUCGUCACACUAUCGUUAACUGAAUACAUAGGUUAACGAGGCGAACCGGGGGAACUGAAACAUCUAAGUACCCCGAGGAAAAGAAAUCAACCGAGAUUCCCCCAGUAGCGGCGAGCGAACGGGGAGCAGCCCAGAGUCUGAAUCAGCUUGUGUGUUAGUGGAACGGUCUGGAAAGUCCGACGGUACAGGGUGAUAGUCCCGUACACCAAAAUGCACAGGUUGUGAACUCGAAGAGUAGGGCGGGACACGUGGUAUCCUGUCUGAAUAUGGGGGGACCAUCCUCCAAGGCUAAAUACUCCUGACUGACCGAUAGUGAACCAGUACCGUGAGGGAAAGGCGAAAAGAACCCCGGCGAGGGGAGUGAAAAAGAACCUGAAACCGUGUACGUACAAGCAGUGGGAGCACCUUCGGGUGUGACUGCGUACCUUUUGUAUAAUGGGUCAGCGACUUAUAUUCUGUAGCAAGGUUAACCGUAUAGGGGAGCCGCAGGGAAACCGAGUCUUAACUGGGCGUUAAGUUGCAGGGUAUAGACCCGAAACCCGGUGAUCUAGCCAUGGGCAGGUUGAAGGUUGGGUAACACUAACUGGAGGACCGAACCGACUAAUGUUGAAAAAUUAGCGGAUGACUUGUGGCUGGGGGUGAAAGGCCAAUCAAACCGGGAGAUAGCUGGUUCUCCCCGAAAGCUAUUUAGGUAGCGCCUCGUGAAUUCAUCUUCGGGGGUAGAGCACUGUUUCGGCUAGGGGGUCAUCCCGACUUACCAACCCGAUGCAAACUACGAAUACCGAAGAAUGUUAUCACGGGAGACACACGGCGGGUGCUAACGUCCGUCGUGAAGAGGGAAACAACCCAGACCGCCAGCUAAGGUCCCAAAGUCAUGGUUAAGUGGGAAACGAUGUGGGAAGGCACAGACAGCCAGGAUGUUGGCUUAGAAGCAGCCAUCAUUUAAAGAAAGCGUAAUAGCUCACUGGUCGAGUCGGCCUGCGCGGAAGAUGUAACGGGGCUAAACCAUGCACCGAAGCUGCGGCAGCGAC